RNAcentral lists this long non-coding RNA (8802 nucleotides) under Homo sapiens (human). Its description in RNAcentral is "HSALNT0308489". The stretch from base 4907 to 4972 matches the Rfam family "mir-1255 microRNA precursor family". Lineage: Eukaryota; Metazoa; Chordata; Mammalia; Primates; Hominidae. The record is from RNAcentral.
GGCCGGGCAGCGCGAGCGCAAGGGACAGGGAGGGUCGUGGCGACACUCGCGCCAGCUCCCGGGACGGCUGGGCUCGGGCUGGUCGCCGACCUCCGACCCUCCACUAGAUGCCUGGCAGAGCCCGGCGCGUCCGGAGCCCGCGCCCCUCAGAGGGAAGGGGUCGCGCGUCGCCGCGGCGGCCCUGAGGCUGACGGUCGGGAGGUGAAAGGCCGGAGUGCGGGGUCAGGACGCCUCCUGGAGGGGGCGCGGCGCAGGGGGCCGCGGGGAAGCCGCCGAGGGCGCGGAGCGGGAAGGAAGGACAGUGGCCACCCCGCCUCCGCCUGGGCACGGGGCAGGGACCCGCGCGAGGCGGUGCCGGGGAGGUCCUCACGUACUCAAAAACAAGCAGAAAAGGCAUCCAGGGCCCCUUCCCGAACUCCCCACGGGCUGCCAGGGUGCAGAGAAGAAGCGCCUGAGGAGGAAGUGCCACACAAUGGGAGAGAACAAAGGGGAGCGGAGCGAGACCGCGGCCUGCGCCCGCCCCCCGCUUGCGCACAGUCCCCGCCCCGCCCCGCGGGCGCCGCCGCCGCCGCCCUCCCUCCCGCGCCUCCUUCUGACCCCGAGCGAGAGACCUGGUCGGGAGUCCGGCGGCUAGAGUUGAUUGCAAGGGGCCUGUUGCUCGACUGUGCGUUAAAGAGGCUAGAGGGAGCCUAGGUAGACGUGGGGCGCAAGCUGGAGCCGGCAGCUUGCGAGGGGGCCUUUACGUGAUGAGGCUCACCAUGGGGUCUCCAGCGAGGUGUCUGCAGAGCUUCGAUGGUGAGAGGAGGAACUCGAUUUCUCGUUUUCUGGAGUUGGGAUGUAGACAUAGAGAGAUCUGUUACAUCUGAGAUGAAAACCCUGCACAAUUCACGUUAGGGUUGGCCAAUUGUUUGCUUGACCUUAAAUGGUUAGUGUGGUUUAAGCUUCCCCAAAAUGCGCUGUGAGCUGAGCUUCCACUUUUGGAAUGAUUGCAGAAUUCGGUGCUUAAGAGAUGAGAAACUUCGUUCUACCAGUAAUGGAAGAAACGCUUCACCUUAAUCACCCUCCUUGUCUUUCCCCUCCCUUUGACUAUGUAGGACUCGAUAACACAACAUUUGAAAGAUUCUACUCUAUGAAAUAAGCACAGAUUGAAAUUCAGUAUUUGCCAAGGAAUAUUAAACAUGAAUUACUGGGAUUGAGGAAAGCCUGAUUUAUUUACUUGUUAGUGUCUGGAAUUCUGUUGGCCAGAUUCAUAGCAUUCAUUGUAUGAGUAUAAUUGGAACAUUUACUCUAAUGUAGAUGCAGAUGCAUCUGCAAUUAGAUGUGCAAGGACGCUGCCAGCUAACUAGCUGCACGACUUUGAGCGAAUUACUGGGUCAGAACUUGUAUCUACCCAUCUCAGAAACAGAAAUAGUGGGAUCCGCGUUGUCUAGUUGUUAUGAAGAGUCAAAAUAUCUUUGGUAACUCACCUAGCAUAGUAUCUGACACUAUUAGGUGAAUACUAAAUAUUAGCUAUCAUUGUCUCCCCACUUGAGCUAUGUAAACUAAUAGGACCUUUAGGAGAAUAUACUAUUAAUAGAAUCUUGGAGAUAGAGGAAAGGUAGAAACCCCUUGCUAGUUUGUUACAAGGUCUCCCCUUCUCCAUGCUCUCCCCUGACCCCCAUGCUAUUUCAACUGGGGGGAUGGGCAGGAACCAUUGAGAAACACUAGGGCAAAAAACAUGUUCAUGAAUAAUAGGGGAAGGAAAGGAACUUGGGUAUAGAAAACUAGAGGCAAAAGGUGAGGCAAGACCAACCAUAUAAUUUGGUACUUGAGACUCAAGUGAACUUAUUUUGUGUGUGUUACAUUAUAACAAUUUUUGAAUAAAAUAGGACAUAUCGGUUAACGUGAGUUUGAAGAUUUUACAAAUAAUAGUUCCCAUUUAUUAAGCACUUCGAAUGUGCCGUAUGCGCAUAAACACUUUAUAUGCAAUGUCUCAUUUAAUCUUAAGGACAGCCCCAAAGUAUCCCCAACUUUAUGGAUGAAGAUACCCACGCUUGGAAAUACUAAGUAAGUUGGUCAAGGUCUCACAACCUGGAAGUGGUCAAGCAGGGGUUCAAAUCCAAGAGCAUCUGACUCCCCACACUGUUCUGUACUGAGCUUUGUAUGGUGAAAAAUGGGGUUCCUCAGCUUUAAGUCAGUGUGUGUUUACAAAAAUUGCUUGGGUGGGGCCGGAGGAGGAGGCUUCCAUUGAGACUUUUCCUAUGUAACUAUCAGCCGUCUGACUUGCAAAAGGACUCAACCAAAAUUUUACAAAGCAAAUACUGCAAACCUCAUUAUGGUCUUUGCUCCAAGCUUUGUAGAAUAUUUUAGAUUCAUUUUAAGAGAUUUAUGCAGCAAGGCAUUCUGAAAGGCACAUUUUCAAUAUUAGUUAUAUUUAGCUACUUUUUAUACCCUAGAGACCCAAGAUUCACAUUGCAAAACACAUGCAAGGUAUCCAGAUGUACAAAGUAAUCAACAAAUUAAGAUCACAAGAGAACUUUGGCAGUUCAGCAAACCAAAAUAAACUGCACUGUUGUAACUACCACUUACUGGUUGAUUACCUUCUUUGUACCUAGCAUUUUACACAUACCUCUGAUCUCCACAAUCCUGUGAGGGAACUCUUAGUGCUCCAUUUUUAUAGAUGAAGAUACUGAAGUUUAGAGAGUGCAUGUAAUUUGCUCAUUACCAUGUGUCCAGUAAGUGGGUAAAAGCAGAUUAGAAUACAGGUCUGCCUCCAAAUCGACUCCAAAAUCUGUCUUCUCCACAAGUAUUGCCUUGGGAGGUGUUCAUUUUACUUCUAAUAAUGUCAAUCUUUGGAAGUAAUCCUAUAGAAAACACCCUAGAGUAAAUAAUAAAUUAUCCCCCCACCCGGGGGGAGCUUAGAAAUAAAUGAGGAUAUUUUAAGAAUAAAAUAGUAAAAAUUUAAUAUGUGAAUACACACAUUAAAGGCAUCAGGCUGUUUCCACCAGUAAAGUUUUGCUUCAUUAGUGUAGGAAGUCUUUAUUAUCCCAGUGUGAUUAGUACUCCUCAAAGUAAAUCUACUUAAAGCUGGGACCAAAUUUCAGACCAAUCAGUGAAGAAAGCUUUGCUUAAGACUUUAUUUGAAAAUAAAACUAAAUGUUAUUAAAAUACAUUCAUUCUGUCCUAUAUGGGCAUACCUCAUUUUAUUGUACAUAGCUUUAUUAUGCCUUGCAGAUACUGCUUUUUUAUACAAAUCGAAGGUUUGUGGCAACCCUGCUUGGAACAAGUCUUAUCAGCACAAUUUUCCCAACAACAUGUACCCACUUUAUGUCUCUGUGUAACAUUUUGGUAAUCCUCACAAUAGUUCAAACUUUUUUUGUUAUUAUAUCUGAUAUGGUGAUCUGUGAUCAGUUAUUUCGGUUUUACCAUUGUAAUUGUUUUAAGGCACCAUGAACUGUGCCCAAAUAAGACAUAGAACUUAACUAGUGUGUGUGUGCGUGCUAAUUACUCCACCGACUGGCUCUUCCCCUCCUCUCCUCAGGCCUCCCUAUUCGUUAAGACACAACAAUAAUGAAAUUAGGCCAGUUAAUAUCCCCACUAUGGCCUCUAAGUGUGCAAGUGAAAGGAAGAGUGACAUAUCUCUUUAAAUCAAAAUCUAGACAUAAGCUUAGUGAAGAAGGUAUAUCAAACACCGAGAUAGACCAAAAGCUAGGCCUUUACACCAAACAGUUGGCCACUCUGUGAAUGGAAAGAAAAAGUUAUUGAAGGAAAUUAAAAAUGCUACUCCAAUAAACACACAGAUGAUAAGAAAGCAAAACAGCUUUAUUGCUGAUAUGGAGAACGUUUUAGUGGUGUGGAUGGAAGAUCAAACCAGCAACAACAUUCUUUUAAGCUAAAACCUAAUCCAGAGCAAAACCCUGACUCUCUUCAAUAUUACGAAGGAUGAGAGAGGUGAGGAAGUUGCAGAAGAAAAGUUGGAAGAUAGCAGAGGUCGAUUUAUGAGGUUUAAGGGAAAAAGUCAUCUCCAUGACAUUAAAGUACAAGGGAAGGAGCAAGUAGUAAUGUAGAAGAUGCAGCAAAUUAUCCAAAAGACUGAGCUAAAAUCAUUGAUAAGGGUAGAUGAUGCAGCCUUCCAUUGAAAGAAGAUGCUCUCUAGGACUUUCAUAGCUAGAGGAAGAAAGCAAUGUCUGGCUUCAAAACUUCAAAGGACAGGUUGAUUCUCUUGUUAGGAUCUAAUGCACCUGGUUCCUUUAACUUGAAGGCAAUGCUCAUUUACCAUUUUGAAAGUUGUAGGGCCCUUAAGAAUUAUACUACAUCUACUCUACCUGUGUUCUAUAAAUAGAAGAACAAAGCACAUCUGUUUAUAUGAUGGUUUACUAAUAUUUUAAGCUCACUGUUGAGACCUACUCUUUAGGAAAAAAGAUUCCUUUCAAAAUGUUACUGCUCAUUGACAAUGCACCUGGCCAUCCAAGAGUUCUAAUGGAGAUAUAUAAGGAGUUGUACAUGUUGUUGUCAUGCCUAGCUAACACAACAUCCAUUAUGCAGCCUGUGGAUCAAGGAAUAAUUUCAGCUUUUAAAUCUUAUUAUUAAGGAAAUACAUUUCAUAAGACUAUAAUUGCCAUAGAUAGUGAUUUUCUGAUGGAUCUGGGCAAAGUAAAUUAACAACCUUCUGAAAAGAAUUCACCAUACUAGAUGCUAUUGAGAACAUUUGUGAUUCAUUUGUGGAAGAGGUCAGAAUAUCAACAUUAACAGGAGUUUAGAAGAAGUUGAUCCCAACCCUUCUGGGUGACUUUGAGGGGUUCAAGACUUCAGUGGAGAAAGUAACUGCAGAUCGGGUGAGAAUAGCAAAAGAACUAGAAGUAGAGCCCAAAGAGGUGACAAAAAUGCUGCAAUCUCAUGAUAAAAAUUACAUGAAUGAGGAGUUGCUUCUUACGGAUUAGCAAAGAAAGUUCUUUUCUGAGAUGGAAUCUACUUCUGGUGAAGAUGCUAUGAACAUUGUUGAAAUAACAAACUACUUAGAAUAUUAUUAUACAUAAAAUGAGUUGAUAAGGUAAUCACAGGGUUUGAGAGGAUUGACUCUAAUUUUGAAAGAAGCUGUACUUUUGGUAACAUGCUAUCAAACAGCAUUGCAUGCUACAGAGAAACCUGUCAUGAAAGGAAGCAUCAGUGUGACCAAAUUUAUUGUUGUCUUUUUCUAAGAAAUUGCCACAGCCCCUCCAGCCUUCAGCAACCCACUCUGAUCAGUCAGCAGCCAUUGACAUUGAGGAAAGACCUUCUACCAGGAAAAAGAUUAUGACUUGCUGAAGGCUCAGAUGAUAGUUACCAAUUUUUAGUAGCAAAAUAUUUUAAAAUUAAGGUAUGUACAUUGUUUUUUCUUAGACACAAUGCUAUUGCACACUUACUAUAGAGUAUAGGGUAAAUAUAACUCAUAUGCACUGGGAAACAAAAAACUUGCAUGACCCACUUUAUUGUGAUAUUUGCUUUAUUGCAGUGGGCUGUAACCAAAGUCAGCAAUAUUUUCAUAGUAUGCCUGUAUUUAACAAUAUUUACGUUGUUAGUAUGACUAUGUGCUAAUUGUAAAAUGAAUAAAUCAAGAAAGUGAUUGUUGGUUUAAUUUUUCUACAAAAGGUAAAGCACCGGUUGGGGCCCAGAACACAAUACCCCAAUAUGUAUGGCACCCUGACAUACUGAGUAUUUUGAGCCAAAGGAGAUUGGGAGAGCCACUAAAGCAGGAAUUUCUCUCUGACCUUCCCCUACUCCUAUUUUCUCUCCUGAAACAGAUCAUAGAAACUGAAAUUUCUCUCCCUCAAAGCAAGCCAUAAAACCUAAGAAGGUCACUCUCUGACCUCCUCCCUUUUGCCCUGAAGACCUUCGUGUGACAGGUGUUCUGCCCCUCCCUAGAGGCCAAAGAGAAUCUGAACAAACAGGCCUUGUUAAGUUUCCAGUUUAUUAACUUUAGGCCAUACCUCCUUUUUAUCCAAUCCCACUUCAACACGACUGUUCAUCCUUUAUCCCACCUAAGCACUAAAAUACAGUUUUCCCUGGGUCUUUGUGUCUUCAUUUUUGAAGGCUCCCAUGUCAUGUAAAACUUUGAUUAAAUAGAUUUGUGAUACUUAUCUCUUGUUAAACUGUCUUUUGUUAUAGGAGUGUCAGCCAUAAACCUUGUGAUAAGGGAGGAAAAGUUAUUACUUUUUCUCCCCAACUCAACUUACAAUAUGCCUUAUUUCAUAUUUGACUUUUACAGGAUAAUCAAAAAGAGGGUCAUUUUGUAAAAAUGUUAGAGGGCUUCAUCAGUUUCCCCAAGGGUCUCUAUUAGUUUUUUGUAUUCAAAGUAUUCUCUUCUGAAUCAGCAAUAUAGUCACCCUCCCUGUUGAUUUUUACCUUCACUUGUUAGUUUAACUCUACAAAUCUCUAUUUGCCAGUGGCCUUAUCAACCUUACUUUCAUUGACAUCAUAAAAUCUAACACUUUUGGCACGAUUUGCAAUUUUACUUUGCAGUAUAAUUGAAUAUAUUGCAUUGUAUUGUAAAUGUUUGCCACUAUGAGAGCAGGAGAGAAGAUUGUUAAGAAGGGAUGUUUGAGUGGGGGACUAAUUUAUAAGUGGUCCUAUCAUUAAUAAAUAUUUUUGUGUACUGACUUUUUCUUCCCUUCACCAUCUUACUACAGUGGAGGAAAGUGUGAACUUGGGUUGUGUCGUAGAAAAUGUGAGUGUCAGAGAGGCGGAGGUUGGUAAACAAGACUGCCUGAGAAACAUGGUUUGAAUUUGGAAGAACAUGAGAACAUGUAUGUGGCCACUUGUGAGAGCUGUUUCAUAAUUGAGAAAAAUGAAAUGGUGGUCUCAUCAGGCCUCUAGUGUCCUGGAUAAAAAUAUUUCUUGAAAAUACGUCUCUCUGUCUUCAUUCUGUGCUCACUUUCUGCCCAUAAUUUGACUUCCCGCUUGUUCUGCCUACAGGAAAAAAUGAACUGGUUACAACCACAGGAGCCUGGUCACCGCGGCAGUACUAUUGCUAUUGUCAAUGCAAACAUCCAAAGACAUUUUAGUUAAUAUGUGUGUUUUUUGUGAGUUUAAUUAGCAUGGGUCUGACUUCCUAGGUUUGUUUAAUUUUAAGACACUAACAUAUUGAGAUUUCUAGACAUGAUAUACUUUAAAAAAUGGUCUCGGUGAAUUAACCAAGAACUCUUAUUAUCUUCUUCAGAAGACAUCCCAAUCUUGCCACUAGCUUUUAGAAUUCUGUGGGCAUAUUACAGUUUAACAAAACAUUUAUUUUUAAAUAAAAUGCCAAAGCCAACCCUGAAUGUUACAUCUUACAUUGCAAGGGGUCAUACAAAAUGGAUAAAAGAGGGACCUGGUAGAUUGUGAGUUAUGGGCGUGUGACCCAGGAGACAAUUUGCUGCUUCCUUCUAACUCAGGUGAUCUAUUGCUUAACAAAAAUUCACCUACCAUCAUGAUAAAGGUAAGGAAUUCACAAGUCCAGCAAAAGUUCACUGUCAAGAAUGCUCUGUCCAACCUUAGAAUGUUGGACUUUGAAUGUCAUUAUGACCUGUGUUACAGGAUUCCUGUGGAGAUAAAUAUUAGUAGUCACUUUUCUAGCUUGAGCUGUCAGCACCUAAAGUGUCAGUAUCCUCUAUGAAGAACAAAAUCAUCAUUUGAAUUCAAUCAGUCAUUCAACAUAUAUUAUGUAAACCAGUCAUUUAACAUAUAUUAUGCAAAGGACUUAGGUUGAAAAUAAAAUGGUAAACACAGACAUAUUACCAAUAUCAAUUUCUGAGAGAGUAGUACUGUGUCUCAGAAGUUAGAAAAGGCAUUUGAAGUGUCUAGUCCAACCUUCAUCAGAUCUACUGCUUCCCUUUGCAACACUGCUUUUCAGGAGAUGCCCAGUUCCUCCAAUGGUAGGGAGAUCCCAGCAAGCACUAGGAUAAGCUGCUAUGAUUGAACCUGAUUGGAUGAUUUUCCCCAUCUAAGAAUAGCAUCACAAGCUAUUCAGGGGUCUCUGGACAAAGAUUUUGGAAAAGAAGCCAGUAGGAAAUGAGAAAAAAAUUUAAAAAAUAGUAAAAAGAAUUAAUUUUGCUGUGCAAUGACGCAAAUGCCCAGAUAGUUGUGAAGCCAGUGAGAAAUCAAGUUGCUAAUGUUUUAGAGAUUCUUAGCUUUUGUGGCAUGUGAGGCACAAUUUGUAAGAGUGUUGUGUUUCAACCUAAGCAUUUUUUGUUGUGACAUGUUGAAUACAACAGUGUAAUUAUUAAUAUGUUAAAUAUCACUCUCAAUGUUUUAUCAGAAUAUUAUCAUUUUUCUUUUAAAAGUGCCAUUUCCAAAGGGCUUGGUAUGCAGUUAAUGGGAUUUAACAGCAGAAUGCAUCUUGGAUUUUGUAAUGGAAAUCAAUGGGAGAAUAAGAUUGAUUUGAUGGAAAGUCUCUGUACUGCAAACUUUGCUGACAAUGACCAUUCCUUUAAGUGAGAGAUACCUAUUCCACAAGUGCUCAAUGAUGAGUUUUUAUGUAUAUGAUAGAUCUAGAUAGUUUGGAAAAUUAAUAAUGUCAGAAGCAGGUUUUGUUUUGUUUUGCUUUUUUUCUGACUAGUCUCUCAUUUGAAUCUGACUAAAUUUCCUUUACCAGAAGGAUGCUUACUUGAGUGCUUUGAAAACUCAGCUGAGUCAUAGUUUUUAAUGCUGGUCCCUGCUCUUCUCAGGAGUAAGUUAUCACAUGCUUUAAAAUCCUCCAUUUGGGCCGGCCGCGGUGGCUCACGCCUGUAGUCCCAGCACUUUGGGAGGCCGAGGCAGGCAGAUCACGAGAUCAGGAGAUCGAGACCAUCCUGGCUGACACGGUGAAAC